CAUUAGAUGGCUGAAAGUAAGCAAUGGACUUUUAAACCAUUUAUAGUAAAUUAACAUUUACUUCUAAUGA
This 70-nucleotide transfer RNA is filed under the name Callosobruchus chinensis (azuki bean weevil). RNAcentral's name for it is "tRNA-Lys". It matches the Rfam family "tRNA". From Rfam's summary of the family: Transfer RNA (tRNA) molecules are approximately 80 nucleotides in length. Their secondary structure includes four short double-helical elements and three loops (D, anti-codon, and T loops). The record is from RNAcentral. Lineage: Eukaryota; Metazoa; Arthropoda; Insecta; Coleoptera; Chrysomelidae.